Molecule: long non-coding RNA, 2746 nt
Organism: Myotis lucifugus (little brown bat)
Lineage: Eukaryota; Metazoa; Chordata; Mammalia; Chiroptera; Vespertilionidae
Exons: 2
Source: RefSeq, a predicted model, not a curated record
UUCCUGCCCCGGACGGGUGCCCCCUGCCCGCACCCCCGACCCCCUGCCCCCGCCGGGCACCCCCUGCCCGCACCCCAAAUCUGCAGCCCGCAGCUCCGGUCUCGGGGUUCGGAGGCCUCAGGGGACACAUCCUUAGGAAAUGAAAGUAGUUGCUCACUUUUCUGCUCCGAGGGCCCUGGCGCGGGUAGGCCGCGAAUCCCCGGGCUCGGGUGGGGAGUCCGUGGCCGUGGGAACUGGGGUUCGUGGGAUGGACUUUCGGGUGGGUUUUCUUCUUUCCACUGAAAUGUGGAGUCGGGUUUUACCAGCAGACGAGGAGGAGGAGGUGGGAGCUGGGCCCGCCCGGCUCCUGCGUUAAAACCCCGAGCCCUGGGGCUGGUGGUCGGAGGUGGGGCCUUGGAAGGGGAUUAGGGUUGUUUUUUUAAAAUAUAUUUUUAUUGAUUUCAAAGAGGAAGGGAGAGAGAGAAACGUCAAUGAUGAGAGAGAAUCACGGAUCCUCAUGGAUUGGCUGCCCCCUGCACGCCCUGCCCUGGGGACCCAGCCGCAACCCCGGCUUGUGCCCUGACCCGGGACCAGGCGGGGUAGUGGGGGUGGGGGGGACCUCCCAGGUCUUAGGUCCCAGGUCCCCGGUGGAGGGACCACUGAGCCAGCCCGGGCCGGGGACUAGGCCUUGAGAGAGGGUCCGGGUGACCCAGAUUAGGGCGUUUACAGGAGAAACCCCACUGAGCCCUCGGGUCUGCCCCGUGAGAAUAGGUGAGACACAGGCCCUGCUGGCACCGGGGUCGGACCUGCAGCCUCCAGAAGCCCAGAAAUAAAUGUCUUUUCUUGAGUCACCCCGUCCAUUGUAUUCUGUUACAGCGCCUGCCGGAAACGGUGUCAGUUGGGGAGAUGUGGCCUAGAGGACACGCCCUGCGCUCAGCGUCCAUUCGUGUUGGAGUGCGUGUCUCACUGGCCUGAUGUUGGCAUCAUCCAGGUCCAGCCACCAGAGGUUCGGGUCUCCCAAGGCCACUUUUCUGCAGACGUAAGUGGAGCCUCAGUUCUCUGGCCUUUUCUCAUUUGUAAGGUGAGACAAUGUGUUCAGGUCCUCUCACUGUUGAUAGGAUUCAGUGGGAUAAUAUUUGCAAAGCCUGGAAGCUUCAGUAAAUACUGGCCCUUCCACGGCACAGCGGUGAGGGGCUCCAUUGGGUGCCAGCUUCGUCGAGUCCUCGCCAUGUGAUGCUGGGCAUGGUCACUUUUCAUGCUUCCAGGGCCUCAUCCGUAACAGUUAUUAUCCCUGCACAGAGGGUGUUGUGAUGAUGGAACUGCAGCGAACAUGCCUGAAGAUGCCUCUCAGUAAACAAAAACAUACCAAAGACGAAAAACAAAUGUCCAGGUUUUUUUCUACCACAACUCACUCUGCUCACUAGACUCGCUUGGAGCUUCAGGGAAUACUGUUCCCCGGAUCGAGGCUCUGAUGUAAUUGGUCCAGGACGGGGCCUCGGCACCGGAACCGCAUAGAAGCACCCAGGUGACCAAUGUUCCACCAGGACGGGAACAGCUGUGUCAGAACUCAAACACGUACCCCCCCCCUUUUUCUUUAUUGGAUUUUUUUGCUUGUACGUAACACGUGAUUUUUCUUUCUUUUUUCAAUUUAUUCAGAGCCUGAUCCUAUAAGGUUCGGGGUAAUAAUCUGUCCCCUUUGCCCUUGAGUUCUUGCCUUACUGUGUGUGCGGGGAGGUGCAGGGAGAACUGACCUAGAAUCACAGGCCCCGGAUCCCGGGGCUGACGGCCACCAAGGGGCUUUUCCAUCUUCUGCUCCGGGAGCUGUUCAGUCGCACUGGAGGGAGCCACACGCUGUAACGGGAGCUGAUCGUGCCUCUUUGCGAAUAUUAAACCGAUGGUAACUAAUUUAGAUGAGAAGAUGUAAAGAAAUAGAAGCACGGGAACUUUUUAAUGCUUGGCUCGCUGUCAAAACUCUCGUUUCUGUGGCUCUAACCCAAAGAGGAGAAGCCUCGGAUGACUUCCUGAGGGACCGGGAUGGUCACAGGUGUUUGCAGGAGGCCUCAGAAACGGCCGUUUUCAUAGACGUGACCGUCAGCAGUUCACAUGGGCGAGGCAACAGCAGCUGCUGCCCCCAUUGCACAGAUGAGAGACUGAGCCUCAGAGCGGUGAGGGCACCCAGGUCACAGACUGCGUGGUGGCACGUGGCCUCGUAUGGAGCUCUCCCAUCCUAUCUUCCUCGUUCACGUCGCCGGCCACACACACAGGCAUGUUCACUCUGCUCUCAGCCUCUGGGAGCCUCAGGGUCCCUCCUUCCGCCCCUCCCCUUCCACAGGCAGAGGCAGGGCACAGCCCUACAGCAGGGGUUCCUUCCAGCCUGGCCGCCAUCCCCAAACCUAAGAACAGUGUCGUCUACUCCGCACGCUCAACUUCACCUUCCAAAUGCCUUUGACAGCUUUUUUCUGGGCAGAGCAGAUUCUCCAUCCAGGGGCCUGUAAUGGUUCGAAAUCCGUUUCCGACAAGCCGUUUGCUAGUAGUUACUGAAUCACAAAUCACGGCUGGUUCUUGAGGGGAGCCCUUCCCUCAUGCGAGACCCCCCUUUUUCCUGGUGGCCUUUGGGGAUACAUUUCUGCACAUGGGUGCCUCUCCCUGUUGUUGGGAAUCGAAGCUGGUAGAAACGUCAUUUGCUCAUAGAUAGGUUGCUUUUCUUAAUAAAAAUAUUCUUUCUAAAUUAAGUGAUAUUUUUAUUAAUAAAGGCAAUUUCAUAUUU